GACGAACGCUGGCGGCGCGCCUUAUACAUGCAAGUCGAACGCACGAAGUUGAAAAGCUUGCUUUUCGACCAAGUGAGUGGCGGACGGGUGAGUAACACGUGGGUAACCUGCCCAUAAGAGGGGGAUAACAUUCGGAAACGGAUGCUAAUACCGCAUAUUUCAAGUGACCGCAUGGUCGCUUGAUGAAAGGUGGCUUCGGCUACCACUUAUGGAUGGACCCGCGGUGCAUUAGUUAGUUGGUGAGGUAAUGGCUCACCAAGACCAUGAUGCAUAGCCGACCUGAGAGGGUGAUCGGCCACACUGGGACUGAGACACGGCCCAGACUCCUACGGGAGGCAGCAGUAGGGAAUCUUCCGCAAUGGACGAAAGUCUGACGGAGCAAUGCCGCGUGAGUGAAGAAGGUUUUCGGAUCGUAAAACUCUGUUGUUAGAGAAGAACAAGGAUGAGAGUAACUGCUCAUCCCCUGACGGUAUCUAACCAAAAAGCCACGGCUAACUACGUGCCAGCAGCCGCGGUAAUACGUAGGUGGCAAGCGUUGUCCGGAUUUAUUGGGCGUAAAGCGAGCGCAGGCGGUUCUUUAAGUCUGAUGUGAAAGCCCCCGGCUCACCCGGGGAGGGUCAUUGGAAACUGGAGAACUUGAGUGCACAAGAGGAGAGUGGAAUUCCAUGUGUAGCGGUGAAAUGCGUAGAUAUAUGGAGGAACACCAGUGGCGAAGGCGACUCUCUGGUCUGUAACUGACGCUGAGGCUCGAAAGCGUGGGGAGCAAACAGGAU
RNAcentral lists this ribosomal RNA (773 nucleotides) under Carnobacterium divergens. Its description in RNAcentral is "bacterial SSU rRNA". It matches the Rfam family "Bacterial small subunit ribosomal RNA", at positions 28 to 778 of the family's 1533-position model. The record is from RNAcentral. Lineage: Bacteria; Bacillati; Bacillota; Bacilli; Lactobacillales; Carnobacteriaceae.